Long non-coding RNA from Magnolia sinica, 1056 nucleotides. RefSeq lists it as uncharacterized. The record is from RefSeq and is a predicted model, not a curated record. The transcript is spliced from 6 exons. Lineage: Eukaryota; Viridiplantae; Streptophyta; Magnoliopsida; Magnoliales; Magnoliaceae.
UCUCCCUGUCUCGUGAUACCUCUCUCUCUCCCUCCCUCUCGGCGCAUCGUCUCCAUUGCCACCUUUAUUGUCCCCAGAUCUGGUGCGGCCAGCAGCUCCCGCCCUUCAUAUCUUUCCUGGCAGGUAGUUGAUUAUGGAGUUCAUAAGCUUUGGAAAUACAAUAAUGUUGAGAAGUUAGAUCUAAAACAUUCUAUAGAAGGAUAAACUACACGACAAGAAAUAAAACCCCACCAAUGACUGCGACAGUAUACAACGUGACAGAACUGCAAGCUGCUACAAACAACUUCAGUGAAGACUACCUUCUUGGAAUGGGUACUGUUGGUCCCAUCUACAAAGGCAUGUUCCCUGAUGGCCAGUGUGCGUGUCUCGAAUGAACUUAGGGGCUGGCCGUCCAAAAGCAGCAGAGUUUUCGGUAGUGGUGGCUGUUUCUAUGUUGGCAUUGUUUGGAAUUCUCUUCACAGCUGCAGUUCUCAUCCCCAGGAGCUACUUCCCAAAGUUGUUCACUGAUAAACCAGAGGUCAUAAGAGAAACAAUCAAGCUCGGGUAUCUUCUGGCAGCCAUGAUUUUUCUCAACAGCAUUCAACCUGUUCUACAUAACUUUUCUGGCAUGGCUGUAGAACUCAGAUCAGAAACAGAGCUCCAACAGAUGGGAUUAAGCAUUUAUUAAAUGUGUAGCAAUAGGUGCAGGUUGGCAAUCCUUAGUUGCCUUUGUAAAUGUAGGAUGCUACUAUCUCUUUGGAUUACCGAUGGGCUCCUUGCUCAGAUACAAGUUCAAGCUUGGAGUUUUGGUUAGAAGCAAUGCAUCAAAAUUGGAAUCCACCAAGAGAUAUUGCUUCAUGCUUCAAGAAGAACCUUCCCUGCUUUAAAAAAGCACAAUGGAAGUACACACGUUGUGGCUUAACUUCUAGCCUUGCAUGCAUGUCUUGAUUUGAGGCUCGUGUAUGUAGAUCUUAGCAUGUUUUAUUGUUUCAGAUUGCUGGGGUAGAUGGUUGGGACCAAGGGUUCUUGGUAGGGCUGAUGAUUCUAUAAUUUCUAUUAGGGCAUGUACUUCAAUGG